GACGAACGCUGGCGGCGUGCUUAACACAUGCAAGUCGAACGGAAAGGCCCUGCUUUUGUGGGGUGCUCGAGUGGCGAACGGGUGAGUAACACGUGAGUAACCUGCCCUUGACUUUGGGAUAACUUCAGGAAACUGGGGCUAAUACCGGAUAGGAGCUCCUGCUGCAUGGUGGGGGUUGGAAAGUUUCGGCGGUUGGGGAUGGACUCGCGGCUUAUCAGCUUGUUGGUGGGGUAGUGGCUUACCAAGGCUUUGACGGGUAGCCGGCCUGAGAGGGUGACCGGCCACAUGGGGACUGAGAGACGGCCCAGACUCCUACGGGAGGCAGCAGGGGGGAAUAUUGCACAAUGGGCGGAAGCCUGAUGCAGCAACGCCGCGUGCGGGAUGACGGCCUUCGGGUUGUAAACCGCUUUCGCCUGUGACGAAGCGUGAGUGACGGUAACGGGUAAAGAAGCACCGGCUAACUACGUG
Molecule: ribosomal RNA, 468 nt
Filed under: uncultured bacterium
Lineage: Bacteria
Description: partial 16S ribosomal RNA
Rfam family: Bacterial small subunit ribosomal RNA
Source: RNAcentral